This 75-nucleotide transfer RNA is filed under the name Sphaerodactylus townsendi. RNAcentral describes it as "tRNA-Ala". It matches the Rfam family "tRNA". From Rfam's summary of the family: Transfer RNA (tRNA) molecules are approximately 80 nucleotides in length. Their secondary structure includes four short double-helical elements and three loops (D, anti-codon, and T loops). The record is from RNAcentral. Lineage: Eukaryota; Metazoa; Chordata; Lepidosauria; Squamata; Sphaerodactylidae.
GGAGAGGUUGUGGCUUAGUGGUAGAGUAUCUGCUUGGCUUGCAGAACGUCACAGGUUCAGUUCUGGCCAUCUCCA